Molecule: non-coding RNA, 2265 nt
Organism: Nomia melanderi (Alkali bee)
Lineage: Eukaryota; Metazoa; Arthropoda; Insecta; Hymenoptera; Halictidae
Source: RefSeq, a predicted model, not a curated record
CGUAAUUCCUGUAGACUCUCAUUUCUAAUUAAUUCCCCGCAGAAUUCAACUUAACGAGUCCAAAAGAAGAAACCCAAAGCUUCUCGAAAGAAUUCACCUUAACAAGCCCAAAGGAAGCAACCCAAAAACUCCAAUCCACGAUGGAAAGCUCCUCCAAAGAAUCCCGGUGCGAUCCGGGAGAAAGACGACAACGGCCGCGCCAUGGAAAGCGAGGAAGCCCGAACGGCAGAAGCGAUUCGCAGGGAACCCAAAGCCAGACGAAAUUAUGACUCUUCCGCGGGGAGACGACCACGAUUGAUUUCACCUGGGCGAUCUCUCUCUCUCUCUGCGCGAUGAAAGACCGCGAUAGGAAGCAAAAGGAGAGUGUUGCAUUGACGAACGGGUUCGUUCUCCUCGUUCGAUCUCUCUUCGCUCGGCCGGCGAUCGGUAACGCCGCCGCCAGCUCCUGAGGAUUUUCCUGAAGGACUUCCCUACCUGAGGCUAUCAGGACGACGCACAGCAGCAACUCUCUUCUCCGUGUGAUCAUUUCGUUUCGGUUGUCACAGCCAGUGUGUAUGUGUGUGUGUGUGUGUGUGUCUGUCCCGUUCCCGACCGCACGGUGUACAAGUACUCUCGAAUUUCGCGCAACCGUCUGGCCACCCGGAAUGAUCGUUAAGCUCGAGCUGCGUUACUGCGGUUUGCCAUCGGCGGUGCACUUGGCGGGUCUGGUCUCGCGGCACUGGCGGCCGGGGUUCGCCAGCAACACCUUCUGCUCAUGGCUACAGACUCGGAAACCGGACGGUAGAGGAACCGUUCCUUAGCUCAUUGGCUGACCACUUUCUACCACCGUCCCGGUCCGCCGAGAAAUCCUGGCUUUUAUCUGCGUUAGAACACGCACACCGGCCCGCGCUGAAAGUUGUACGUUUCUCAUUUCAUUCCCGGAUGGGUCCGCAUUCGAUUUUUAGCUGACGAUAAAAAGCUUCGUUUCUUCUGCUCCUUUUGUUCCCGCCGACUUUUUCUUCCGUUUCGUCGGCCGAACGGGCUCGGAACCGACGCCCGAAACGGGUCUAGCUUGUUGCCAGACCGUGCGUGUUUCUGCGGAUUUUUGCUGCGACCGUUGCGUGCAGGAUUUUUGAGUCGGGGCUUGUAACGGGAGACGGUUUCAGGAUAAUGGUUUCGAUGGGAUGUAUGGAUUUGAGAUUGUAUUGGAUGUUGUAUGAGCGUUGUGUGGGAGAGGAUGUUGGUGUGGUAUGGUUUGGUAGAAUGGAAAAGAAUUUGUUUAUAUAGGAGAGGAUAUUAAUGUAAUAUAGUUUGAUAGAAUGGUAAAUAACUUGUUGAUGUAGGAGAAGAUAUUAAUGUAAUAUAAUUUGAUAGAAUGGUAAAUAACUUGUUUAUAUAGGAGAGGAUAUUAUUCUGUAAGUUGAAUGUAAAAAGAUAAGGGGGCAAGAAGAAAGAAUGUCAAGAAGUUGAAAGACACGUUGCCAGGAAAAUGGCAGGUUUCAGUUAGUUAUGUAUUAAUUAGAGCUUUGAAAGGUUUCCAAAUGAACCGAGCAAUUCGUUGAAUUGUAAUGAACGUUUUGUUAUAUUGAAAUUUACACAUUAAGAAAAAUAAUUCUCUUGAAUCAGAAGAAUAAGUAAAUAGUUUGAUUGUUGAGAUUAGGGGAAUUAUUGAAUGAUGUUCAUAAUUCAGUUUUAAUCAUUUGCGGUCCCCUCUUCCGUUUCUCCUUCUUCGGCGCUCUCUUUGUCUUCGUCGUCCCUUUGUUUCCUUCUUGAGAGUCAACUGUUCGCCGAUGAGGAAUAAAAUAUCCCGGUUUGCGUUCCGUUAUAUUGAGUUCUUGACUCACCGAAUUAAUUAAAGUUGCCGUUUCUUCGUCUAAUAAAUGUCGGCAUCGGUUUGUAAAAUUCAGGGACCAGCUUAUCGUCUCGAUCCACUUUGGAUGCGCCUUCAAUAUACGAUACGUUAUUUCCGGGAAAUGCUGGACAAUAUCCCCAAAGAGAGCUGUGUUCUCUAAUACAGUGGACAAUGCUGUAAACAAAUUGUACAUUUGAUUAAUUAAAGUACUAAAUAAUCAGUACUUUUAACUUAAUCUAAUACUCAGUAUUUAAGUCAGUAUUUUUAACUCAAUCUAAUGCUCAGUAUUUACCUCAGUACUUUCAACUUAAUAUAAUACUCAGUAUUAAUUAAAAUAUUCAAUAAUCAUCGUUUCAAGUAUUUAAAUAUAUUAAAUAAUCAUAUUCAUUUUAUAUUACCGCUUUGCACAGUAACAUCCCGUGGCAGAGAUCUAU